This 574-nucleotide ribosomal RNA is filed under the name Dujonia oleophila. RNAcentral describes it as "eukaryotic LSU rRNA". It matches the Rfam family "Eukaryotic large subunit ribosomal RNA", at positions 62 to 648 of the family's 3401-position model. The record is from RNAcentral. Lineage: Eukaryota; Fungi; Ascomycota; Pichiomycetes; Serinales; Debaryomycetaceae.
AAACCAACAGGGAUUGCCUUAGUAACGGCGAGUGAAGCGGCAAAAGCUCAAAUUUGAAAUCUAGCACUUUCAGUGUUCGAGUUGUAAUUUGAAGAAGGUAACUUUGGAAUUGGCUCUUGUCUAUGUUCCUUGGAACAGGACGUCACAGAGGGUGAGAAUCCCGUGCGAUGAGAUGUCCAAUUCUAUGUAAAGUGCUUUCGAAGAGUCGAGUUGUUUGGGAAUGCAGCUCUAAGUGGGUGGUAAAUUCCAUCUAAAGCUAAAUAUUGGCGAGAGACCGAUAGCGAACAAGUACAGUGAUGGAAAGAUGAAAAGAACUUUGAAAAGAGAGUGAAAAAGUACGUGAAAUUGUUGAAAGGGAAGGGCUUGAGAUCAGACUUGGUAUUUUGUGUUCCUUAUUCUUUUUGGAUUUGGUUCCUCACAGCUUACCGGGGCCAGCAUCGGUUUGGAUGGUAGGAUAAUGACAUUGGAAUGUAGCUUUGCUUCGGGUGAAGUGUUAUAGACUUUGUUGAUACUGCCUAUCUAGACCGAGGACUGCGUCUUUGACUAGGAUGCUGGCGUAAUGAUCUUAAGCCGC